RNAcentral lists this small RNA (497 nucleotides) under Pan troglodytes (chimpanzee). Its description in RNAcentral is "retained intron". The record is from RNAcentral. Lineage: Eukaryota; Metazoa; Chordata; Mammalia; Primates; Hominidae.
UGGGAGGAUUGGUUGAGCCCAGGAAGUCCAGGCUGCAGUGAGCUAUGAUGGUACCACUGCACUCCAGCCUGGGCAACAGCGUGAGAUCCCCUCUCAAAAAAAAAAUUAUGAAAAUUUUAUCUGAUUGCUGCUGUUCUUUCUUUCUUUCUUUUUUAAAAUUAUGGUCAGGUACUUACAAUUUCAUCAGAAAUUCCUAAAAGAAUUCGAAGUGCCUUAAAAAAUGCAGAAGAAUCAAAGCAAUUUCUUAAUCAGUUUCUGGAGCGGGAAACUCAUCUCUUCAGCGCCAUUAACAGCCAUUUGCUGACUGCGCAACCUUGGAUGGACGAUCUUGGAGCCAUGAUUAGCCAGAUUGAAGAGAUCGAACGUCAUCUUGCUUACCUUAAAUGGAUUUCACAAAUUGAAGAACUAAGUGAUAACAUUCAGCAAUAUCUGAUGACCAAUAAUGUACCGGAGGCAGCCUCCACUCUAGUGUCUAUGGCAGAACUUGACAUCAAACU